GAUGAACGCUAGCUACAGGCUUAACACAUGCAAGUCGAGGGGCAGCAUGGUCUUAGCUUGCUAAGGCCGAUGGCGACCGGCGCACGGGUGAGUAACACGUAUCCAACCUGCCGUCUACUCUUGGACAGCCUUCUGAAGGGAAGAUUAAUACAAGAUGGCAUCAUGAGUCCGCAUGUUCACAUGAUUAAAGGUAUUCCGGUAGACGAUGGGGAUGCGUUCCAUUAGAUAGUAGGCGGGGUAACGGCCCACCUAGUCUUCGAUGGAUAGGGGUUCUGAGAGGAAGGUCCCCCACAUUGGAACUGAGACACGGUCCAAACUCCUACGGGAGGCAGCAGUGAGGAAUAUUGGUCAAUGGGCGAGAGCCUGAACCAGCCAAGUAGCGUGAAGGAUGACUGCCCUAUGGGUUGUAAACUUCUUUUAUAAAGGAAUAAAGUCGGGUAUGCAUACCCGUUUGCAUGUACUUUAUGAAUAAGGAUCGGCUAACUCCGUGCCAGCAGCCGCGGUAAUACGGAGGAUCCGAGCGUUAUCCGGAUUUAUUGGGUUUAAAGGGAGCGUAGAUGGAUGUUUAAGUCAGUUGUGAAAGUUUGCGGCUCAACCGUAAAAUUGCAGUUGAUACUGGAUAUCUUGAGUGCAGUUGAGGCAGGCGGAAUUCGUGGUGUAGCGGUGAAAUGCUUAGAUAUCACGAAGAACUCCGAUUGCGAAGGCAGCCUGCUAAGCUGCAACUGACAUUGAGGCUCGAAAGUGUGGGUAUCAAACAGGAUUAGAUACCCUGGUAGUCCACACGGUAAACGAUGAAUACUCGCUGUUUGCGAUAUACAGCAAGCGGCCAAGCGAAAGCGUUAAGUAUUCCACCUGGGGAGUACGCCGGCAACGGUGAAACUCAAAGGAAUUGACGGGGGCCCGCACAAGCGGAGGAACAUGUGGUUUAAUUCGAUGAUACGCGAGGAACCUUACCCGGGCUUAAAUUGCAGAUGAAUUACGGUGAAAGCCGUAAGCCGCAAGGCAUCUGUGAAGGUGCUGCAUGGUUGUCGUCAGCUCGUGCCGUGAGGUGUCGGCUUAAGUGCCAUAACGAGCGCAACCCUUGUUGUCAGUUACUAACAGGUUCCGCUGAGGACUCUGACAAGACUGCCAUCGUAAGAUGUGAGGAAGGUGGGGAUGACGUCAAAUCAGCACGGCCCUUACGUCCGGGGCUACACACGUGUUACAAUGGGGGGUACAGAGGGCCGCUACCACGCGAGUGGAUGCCAAUCCCCAAAACCUCUCUCAGUUCGGACUGGAGUCUGCAACCCGACUCCACGAAGCUGGAUUCGCUAGUAAUCGCGCAUCAGCCACGGCGCGGUGAAUACGUUCCCGGGCCU
This 1358-nucleotide ribosomal RNA is filed under the name uncultured bacterium. RNAcentral describes it as "bacterial SSU rRNA". It matches the Rfam family "Bacterial small subunit ribosomal RNA", at positions 28 to 1381 of the family's 1533-position model. The record is from RNAcentral.